AGGCCGGUAGCUCAACAGGCAGAGCAGCGGACUCCAAAUCCGCAGGUUCCAGGUUCGAGUCCUGGCCGGCCUGCCU
RNAcentral lists this transfer RNA (76 nucleotides) under Thermoflexus hugenholtzii JAD2. RNAcentral describes it as "tRNA_Trp_CCA". It matches the Rfam family "tRNA". Rfam says of the family: Transfer RNA (tRNA) molecules are approximately 80 nucleotides in length. Their secondary structure includes four short double-helical elements and three loops (D, anti-codon, and T loops). RNAcentral also lists the same sequence under 2 other names. Lineage: Bacteria; Bacillati; Chloroflexota; Thermoflexia; Thermoflexales; Thermoflexaceae. The record is from RNAcentral.